AUUCAGGGAGUACAUGUACCAAGUCGAUGUGCUGGGGUACGAGGUAAUAACAUGGCUAUAUUCAGGGAGUACAUGUACCAAGUCGAUGUGCUGGGGUACGAGGUAAUAACAUGGCUAUAUUCAGGGAGUACAUGUACCAAGUUGAUGUGCUGGGGUAGGAGGUAAUAACAUGGCUAUAUACAGGGAGUACAUGUACCAAGUUGAUGUGCUGGGGUAGGAGGUAAUAACAUGGCUAUAUACAGGGAGUACAUGUACCAAGUUGAUGUGCUGGGGUAGGAGGUAAUAACAUGGCUAUAUUCAGGGAGUACAUGUACCAAGUUGAUGUGCUG
Long non-coding RNA from Oncorhynchus tshawytscha (Chinook salmon), 329 nucleotides. The record is from Ensembl. NCBI's taxonomy places the organism in Eukaryota, Metazoa, Chordata, Actinopteri, Salmoniformes, Salmonidae.